AUUGAACGCUGGCGGCAGGCCUAACACAUGCAAGUCGAGCGGAUGAAGGGAGCUUGCUCCCGGAUUCAGCGGCGGACGGGUGAGUAAUGCCUAGGAAUCUGCCUGGUAGUGGGGGAUAACGUCCGGAAACGGGCGCUAAUACCGCAUACGUCCUGAGGGAGAAAGUGGGGGAUCUUCGGACCUCACGCUAUCAGAUGAGCCUAGGUCGGAUUAGCUAGUUGGUGGGGUAAAGGCCUACCAAGGCGACGAUCCGUAACUGGUCUGAGAGGAUGAUCAGUCACACUGGAACUGAGACACGGUCCAGACUCCUACGGGAGGCAGCAGUGGGGAAUAUUGGACAAUGGGCGAAAGCCUGAUCCAGCCAUGCCGCGUGUGUGAAGAAGGUCUUCUGAUUGUAAAGCACUUUAAGUUGGGAGGAAGGGCAGUAAGUUAAUACCUUGCUGUUUUGACGUUACCAACAGAAUAAGCACCGGCUAACUUCGUG
RNAcentral lists this ribosomal RNA (484 nucleotides) under uncultured bacterium. RNAcentral describes it as "partial 16S ribosomal RNA". It matches the Rfam family "Bacterial small subunit ribosomal RNA", at positions 30 to 507 of the family's 1533-position model. The record is from RNAcentral.